AUGCAAGUCGAGCGGAAACGAAGAGGUGCUUGCACCUUUGGCGUCGAGCGGCGGACGGGUGAGUAAUGCUUGGGAAUAUGCCUUAUGGUGGGGGACAACAGUUGGAAACGACUGCUAAUACCGCAUGAUGUCUACGGACCAAAGUGGGGGACCUUCGGGCCUCACGCCAUAAGAUUAGCCCAAGUGGGAUUAGCUAGUUGGUGAGGUAAUGGCUCACCAAGGCGACGAUCCCUAGCUGGUUUGAGAGGAUGAUCAGCCACACUGGGACUGAGACACGGCCCAGACUCCUACGGGAGGCAGCAGUGGGGAAUAUUGCACAAUGGGCGCAAGCCUGAUGCAGCCAUGCCGCGUGUGUGAAGAAGGCCUUCGGGUUGUAAAGCACUUUCAGUAAGGAGGAAAGGUUAAGUGUUAAUAGCACUUAGCUGUGACGUUACUUACAGAAGAAGCACCGGCUAACUCCGUGCCAGCAGCCGCGGUAAUACGGAGGGUGCGAGCGUUAAUCGGAAUUACUGCGCGUAAAGCGUACGCAGGCGGUUUGUUAAGCGAGAUGUGAAAGCCCCGGGCUC
RNAcentral lists this ribosomal RNA (566 nucleotides) under uncultured bacterium. RNAcentral describes it as "bacterial SSU rRNA". It matches the Rfam family "Bacterial small subunit ribosomal RNA", at positions 55 to 610 of the family's 1533-position model. The record is from RNAcentral.